RNAcentral lists this long non-coding RNA (627 nucleotides) under Hordeum vulgare. RNAcentral's name for it is "long non-coding RNA (HVUL_LNC005300)". Lineage: Eukaryota; Viridiplantae; Streptophyta; Magnoliopsida; Poales; Poaceae. The record is from RNAcentral.
GAAAACAGAGCGCUAAUAAGAUCACAACUAACCACCCCAAAUUACUCGCUGUCGUCACCACAUUUCAGUGUAUUGCAGAAAAUUCAAAUCACAUUAGCCUGUUAUAAACCGCUGGAGCGCCAUAUGAAACCAAAGGCCAGUUAGCAAAAGUAAGGGGGAAAAGCUAAGCUACUUAGCAAAGGUAACGGCAAGAAAUUAAAAGGUGGCCAUUGAUCAUCCUGUGGUCGAGAACGCUUACCUUGUGUUUGAAGCUUGCUUUAACCACUUAGAAUGGGGUAGACCGCACAUAAAGCGUGACUGCGCAUCAACACGAUAAUCCCCACCCACUGUUGUAAACUUAUAGAACAUCUAUAGCUCGCACUAGCCUGUACUGCUACUUACUACUAAACAGCCUGCUCAUCGUGUACUUCGACCGUGCCGUGCUCUUCUAGUCUUUUCAGCAUGUGUUCUUUGCUGCAAGCACUAGAUUCCCCAUUAACGAUGUUCGGCUAAAUAAAAGCAGUGCGAAUGCUCAUGCUACCAGGUAGUACUCCUUUGCUAUAGUCCGCCUUUCUAGCAUCAACCUUUAAUCACCAAAGCCAUAUGCAUGCAUCUCUUCUUUGUCAAAAUUGAGCAACGGUUUCAAAC